RNAcentral lists this ribosomal RNA (488 nucleotides) under uncultured eukaryote. Its description in RNAcentral is "SSU rRNA". It matches the Rfam family "Eukaryotic small subunit ribosomal RNA", at positions 1302 to 1808 of the family's 1831-position model. The record is from RNAcentral.
UGGAGUGAUUUGUCUGCUUAAUUGCGUUAACGAACGAGACCUCAGCCUGCUAAAUAGACCGGCCUAUCUUCGGAUAAGUCGCUGUCUUCUUAGAGGGACUGUACCCGCUUUAGGGUAUGGAAGUUUGAGUCUAAAACAGGUCUGUAAUGCCCUUAGAUGUUCUGGGCUGCACGCGCGCUACACUGAUGCGUUCAACGAGUGUAUAACCUUACCAGAUAUGGUUGGGUAAUCUUCUGAAAACGCAUCGUGAUGGGGAUAGAUUAUUGCAAUUAUUAAUCUUCAACGAGGAAUUCCUAGUAAGCUUUAGUCAUCAGCUAAAACUGAUUACGUCCCUGCCCUUUGUACACACCGCCCGUCGCUUCUACCGAUUGAAUGAUUCGGUGAAUACUUCGGACCGAUGUUUUACAGAGUUCGCUCCGUUUAACGUUGGAAAGUUGGGUAAACCUCAUCAUUUAGAGGAAGAAGAAGUCGUAACAAGGUUUCCGUAG